GCCUAAAUGAGGCAGAGACAGCGUCCCUGAACAUGACUAGAUGCUAAUUCUGUCGAAUAUACACGUAUUUACUGCAAAGAGAAGACUGGCGCACGUACAGGGUGAAAGGGGUUAGUGUCAUUGGACCAGUUUGCAGUGCACAGAGAAGUUGGUGUGUUGUAUACAGUUCAGUUGUCUUUUCAUCCAUUCGUCCUUCCAUCCGCCUGUGGACCUACAGAUAUGCGACCUGUUCCGUGGAGAUUGCUGUAGAUGGCUGAAGAGCUGUGUACUGGCUGGUUUCGCAUUGUUGCAGGCUCCUUGGAGAUAGAGGAAUGCAAAUCAGCAAUCAUGAUGGAAGGU
Molecule: long non-coding RNA, 339 nt
Organism: Oncorhynchus gorbuscha (pink salmon)
Lineage: Eukaryota; Metazoa; Chordata; Actinopteri; Salmoniformes; Salmonidae
Exons: 4
Source: RefSeq, a predicted model, not a curated record